This 552-nucleotide ribosomal RNA is filed under the name uncultured eukaryote. Its description in RNAcentral is "bacterial SSU rRNA". It matches the Rfam family "Eukaryotic small subunit ribosomal RNA", at positions 4 to 565 of the family's 1831-position model. The record is from RNAcentral.
CUGGUUGAUCCUGCCAGUUGAUAUGCUUGUCUUAAAGACUAUUGCAUGCAUGUCUAAGUAUAAAUAUUAUACAGCGAAACUGCUAAUGGCUCAUUAAAACCUUUAUGGGUUAUGUGGGAAUGUUUUUACAUGGAGCUGCCUUCUAAAUCUAUGGCUAAUAUUUGCUGCGCUCCCUGACUUCAAGCAAAGGUUGUAUUUAUUAUGCAUAAACAAACACUGGGAAGGGUGUUUCCUGCCGACUCAAGUUGACUGAGCAAAACUUCGGCUUGUCCGACGAUGGCUCAUUGCCGUUUCUGCCCUAUCGUCUUUCGAUGGUAGUGUAUUGGACUACCAUGGCUAUCACGGGUAACGGGGAAUUACGGUUCGAUUCCGGAGAGGGAGCCUGAUAAACGGCUACCACAUCUAAGGAAGGCACCAGGCGCGUAAAUUACCCAAUCCUGACUCAGGGAGGUAGUGACAAGAAAUAACAAACCGGGGCACUUCGUGCUUACGGGAUUGCAAUGAGUACAAUUUAAAACACUUAACGAGGAUCAAUUGGAGGGCAAGUCUGGU